AGCACUCAAUGGUAGUCUCUAACUUCACAACCAGCUUUUGAAGCCUACCAGUGAGACAGAAGGAUGUGGAGCUAUUCUGAAGUGCUGAUGGGUACCGCUGUGCUCCUGGAGUCCCCUCUUGCUCCAGGGGCUGGCAAAUGAGUAUACAUUCACCUGGCAGAGCAAUAUACAUUCAAGAGGAAAGGAUGCUAAAAGCAGAAGCAGAUAUUUUUGGAUGAACAAGAUGUAAGGGUGGCUGCAUGUGAGACCGCCUGGGAUACCACCAAGUGAGGAGGAACUUGGGACCCACUUCCAAGCUGGAAGAAAACCAUCAAGAAAAGCAGAAGGCUAUCUUUAGCAUGCCAAGUACAUUAGAUUAAAAGAUGAGAUAAUCCUGUAGAGAAAGGAGAUUUUCCUCUAAAAUGUAUAUGUCUCUGAUGUCAUGAAAUAGCUGGUGUGAAAACUUGCUCAAUAUGUAGUAGCUCAGAUAUUUUAGCUCACUAUUUAUUUUUAUCCUCAGUAUGUUAACUAGGAAGACAGUGUCAGAACUGCAUGAAAUGAAGACACUUAGAGUAAGAAAAAACAUUUCUAACAAGUUAAGAAAUCAUUAUGUGAAAGACACUACUUAAAAUAUUGCUAAAUCUUCUUUCUAAAGGCACUGUUUUAUAACUUGAGUAAGUCUAAUCAGGACUGAAUGGGCAGCUUGAAGAACCCUGACAAAGUGAGCAAAGAGCAAAUGAAAGCAAGAUGUUUGCUUAGACUCACUGUGUGUGAUCUUUUCUAGUGCUGGGCUGUGAAUUCCAAGCCUGACCAUAGUUUUCUGUCUGCUCUUUUGAAGGUGGGGAUUUUUAUCUAUAGAAAGGAUUUCACAAUAUAACUAUGUGGUAUGGAGUACAUACUGUCACUAUAUUAAGACCAGCAUCAAUGAAUUAUUUUAGUUUUUAAGAUUACAUUAUUCUUAUUCUUUUCUCUUGUGGAAAAAUGUAUUACUCUAUGACCACAUAGCAGCUACAUGCCAGUGCCAAUGUUAGAUUUAAGUUUCUGAAUUUUGCUUCCCGUAUUGUCUAACAGUAUGCAAGGAACAUGAACAUGAACUUCCCAGUGUUUGAAACAGCCCACAUACCCACAGGAUUCCAAGAGGCCAGAAUGCCUACAAGUACCCUUAGCCAUGAAGGUGUUAAUCAGUGUAUAUACUGUUUCAUCUGCAUCUAAGCCCUGCAAUUAAAAUUAUAACUUUUAUGCCUGAUCCCCUGCUUGCUGCUAUUCAAAGUUCAUAUCUGCAUACUCUAGGGAUGGAACAGGCCUUUUGAAAGUAAAUAAUUGGCAAAAUUAGAGGGAUUUUCGAAGAUUGCAGAGCUUCCCUUUAGGACCAGUCCAGGAGCCCUGUCCUUCUGUCAAAGUACAAAUUACUCCCAUAUGGUGAUGUCCGUUCUCUCAACUGUAAUUUAUUCAUUAUGCAGAAUGCCAAAUACCAAAUGGUGAAAGCACAACAGCAAAACAAUGAAACAGCCUUUGGAAGCUAAUAAGUGUCCAAUCAAUGAGAACCUAAUGAACUAUAACAUGUAAUACUUUAUAAGGCAUUCAAAUUAAAAAGAGAAAAAA
Columba livia (rock pigeon) is the source of this 1581-nucleotide long non-coding RNA. RefSeq lists it as uncharacterized. The transcript has 3 exons. Lineage: Eukaryota; Metazoa; Chordata; Aves; Columbiformes; Columbidae. The record is from RefSeq and is a predicted model, not a curated record.